ACUCAACUCAACCUGGAAACAACUCAACCUAGAAACAACACGGUGAAGUUGGGCUCACAUAUUUUCCCACCGAUAGACAAGAGAUUACCAGAAAAGGGGUGAGGAAUCCAGAGAGAAUGUCUGCAUAAGAAGGAGGGUGGAGAUUUCUUACUGAACUAAAGGCUUCAAGAAUUGGCAAAUACCUGCUCAACUUUUGUAUUUCUGAUGACUGGAUGACUCCACCUGGACCCGAGACUCAUGACUCACCCAGUCCUGUGGCCCCACCCAGAAGUGGACUCAGAGCAAGAGGACCAUUUUCCACACCCCAAUGAGUGCAUCCCCAACCAAUCAGCAGCACCUGUUCCCUAGCCCCCUGACCACCAAACUCUCCUUGAGAAACCGUAGCCUCCAAAUUUUCUGGGAGGCUGAUUUGAGUAAUAAUAAAACUUUGGUCUCCUAUGUAGCUGGCUCUAUGUGUAUUAAACUCUUCCUCUAUUGCAAUUCCCCUGCCUUGGUAAGUCGG
RNAcentral lists this long non-coding RNA (502 nucleotides) under Homo sapiens (human). Its description in RNAcentral is "HSALNT0111418". The record is from RNAcentral. Lineage: Eukaryota; Metazoa; Chordata; Mammalia; Primates; Hominidae.